Molecule: ribosomal RNA, 405 nt
Filed under: uncultured bacterium
Lineage: Bacteria
Description: bacterial SSU rRNA
Rfam family: Bacterial small subunit ribosomal RNA
Source: RNAcentral
CGGGAAUAUUGCGCAAUGGAGGAAACUCUGACGCAGUGACGCCGCGUAUAGGACGAAGGUCUUCGGAUUGUAAACUAUUGUCGUUAGGGAAGAAAAAGGACAGUACCUAAGGAGGAAGCUCCGGCUAACUACGUGCCAGCAGCCGCGGUAAUACGUAGGGAGCAAGCGUUAUCCGGAUUUAUUGGGUGUAAAGGGUGCGUAGACGGGUUGAUAAGUUAGUUGUGAAAUCCCUCGGCUCAACUGAGGAACUGCAACUAAAACUGUUAAUCUUGAGUGUUGGAGAGGAAAGCGGAAUUCCUAGUGUAGCGGUGAAAUGCGUAGAUAUUAGGAGGAACACCAGUGGCGAAGGCGGCUUUCUGGACAAUAACUGACGUUGAGGCACGAAAGUGUGGGGAGCAAACAGGA